This is an RNA transcript of Astyanax mexicanus (Mexican tetra), 6662 nucleotides long. It is a transcript of the gene named glutamate receptor, ionotropic, kainate 4, with no coding region annotated. The record is from RefSeq and is a predicted model, not a curated record. Lineage: Eukaryota; Metazoa; Chordata; Actinopteri; Characiformes; Acestrorhamphidae. The transcript is spliced from 21 exons.
CACACACACACACACACACACACACACACACACACACACACACACACACACACACACACACACACACACACACACACACAGAGGGGCGCGCGCGCACUCUCUCUCUCUUAGUGACUCUCUCAGUGAGUCAGUCAGUCGGUGCACGCGCUUGGGUUGCCAGCAUCUCUCUCUAUCUAACAGACCGCGCGCCUGUGUUUUAUGGAGGCCACUUCUUCUCCAGCCGAUCAUCUCCAGACGUUCCUCACGUUCACCAACGUCCAGGUUCUCCAAACGUGAUGCGAGCUGGAGCUCGAGCCCGAGCGCGAGAGGCUGCUGUAUCUCUCGGCACGCGGCGGCGGCAGGAGGAGGAGUGAAGAGCUCGAGCCCAGCUCUUCACGCGGAGCGGCUGCUGCUGCUGUUCUUCUCCAGCUUUUCUCUCCGAACCGCGGAGAAAUCUGCCUUCCCUUCCCCGGAGGAUCAGCUACCGAGCCCGGGAGGAGGAGAGCUCUUCAUUUUACACCAGGAGCAGAAAAGUGGAGAGUAAGGUUCCCUUUCUUUUGGGUUAAAUUGACUUAAAGCUCGGAGGCUUUCUUUGCUGGGAUGCGGAUUUUUCUUCUUUCCACAGCUCGCGCUUGAUUUCGCAUCACACCUCUGGAGGAAUCUGAUGGAUUUACUGAGGGAGGGAAUAGCCGCAGUUAAACUGAAGUGUCCUUAAGCUGGUUUCCUUCACGGUUAGUCUAUCUUAACGGUUUUAACCGUUUUAACGGCUAAAAAGAAACAAAAACCGCUUUUUAAAAAAGAAAAAAACGCGUUACAUCGAGAGUCUCCAAAACCACCUUUUAUGUUUUAUCUCUUUUAUGUUUUUAUCUCUCGUAUCUCGUGAACUAUAGGCGCUAUAACUGGAACAGAAAACUGAAGCACUUUGAGAAGAAAUAUAACGUUAAGAAACGUUAAGAAUAAAAAGCGGGAAAUAAAAAAAUAAAAUACGGGCUUAAAAGAAGGAAGGAGGCAAAGCGAGCAACCGGUCACGCAGAGCGGACGGAUUCGGGACUGUUAAACACCAUCAUCACCAUCAUCUUCUUCUUCUUCACCAGCAUCACUACAGACAGGUCAGUUCCUACAGUUGCUGAGGGUUUGGUGGUUUGGUGUUUGGUGGAUCUGUAAUGUGGAGAGCUGUGUAGGAGCCGAGUGGCCGUAUCUCAACCCGUCGCCGCCUCCAGAGCCCAAGAUGGAGUAAAGACCCGCCUCCGGAGAUCAAAGGUGGCUGUGCGCAGGGGGACCCCCGGGGCAGGAUCCAUGAGGAGGUAUAGAAGAUGCUCACAGCCUGGGCGCCUCUGCUCUUCUUAGCAAUGUGGGUGAGAAGCACCUCCAGCGGGCCGCUCUCCUUCAGACUAGCUGCCAUCCUCGAUGAUCCAAUGGAGUGCAGCCGAGGGGAGCGGUUGGCCAUCACUCUGGCAAAAGACAGCAUCAACCGCUCCAGCAACCGCUCCACCACGGGCAAGCUGGAGGUGGACAUCUUUGAGCUGCUGAGGGACAGCGAAUAUGAGACAGGAGAGACUAUGUGCCAGAUCAUGUCUAAGGGGGUGGUGGCGGUCCUCGGCCCUUCUGCCAGCCCGGCGUCCAACUCCAUCAUCAGCAAUAUCUGUGGAGAGAAAGAGGUGCCGUACGUGAAGGUGGCUCCAGAGGACAUCCUGAAGGUACAGUUCCCCCGAUUCACCACGCUGGACCUCAGACCCACCAAUACUGAUGUGAGCCUAGCUGUGGCCGGCCUUCUCACCUUCUUCAACAGCACCACGUCCUGCCUCAUCUGCGCCCAGGCCAACUGCCUAUUAAACCUGGAGGUGUUGCUGCGACAGUUUCUCAUCUCUAAGGAGACCCUCUCGGUACGCAUGCUGGACGACAGCCAGGACCCCACCCCCCUCCUCAAAGAGAUCCGAGACGACAAGACCGCCACCAUCAUCGUCGACGCUAACGCCACCAUGUCUCACAUCAUCCUCGAGAGGGCAUCAGAGUUGGGCAUGCUCUCCGUCUACUACACCUACAUCUUCACCUCUCUGGAGUUCUCUCUGCUUAGACUGGAUGAUGUAGCUGAUCAGCGGGUGAACAUCGUUGGCUUCUCUGUCUUCAACAGGACACACCCCUUCUUCCAGGACUUUCUUCUUAGCCUCAACCGCUCCUGGCAGGAGAACUGUGACCACGCCCCUUUCGCAGGGACACCGCUGUCAUCGGCGCUGCUGUUUGAUGCAGUACACACUGUAGUUGCAGCAGUGCAGGAGUUAAACCGCAGCCAGAAUGUCGGCGCCACCCAGCUGUCCUGCAAGUCCUCUAAAAUCUGGGAGCACGGGACCAGCCUGAUGAACUACCUGAGGAUGGUAGAAUUGGAAGGUCUAACGGGCCACAUCGAGUUCAACAGCAAGGGCCAGCGCUCCAACUACGCCCUGCGGAUCAUGCAGAACAGCAGGGACGGUCUCAGGCAGAUUGGCCAGUGGCACUCGGAGCAGGGUCUAUCCAUGGAGAGAAAGCUUCCCUCACUCAAUGUGACAGAUACGCUCUUCAACACCACGCUCAUCAUCACCACCAUCCUGGAGAAUCCCUAUGUGAUGCUGAGAUCCAACUACCAGGAGCUGGAGGGGAACGAGCGCUAUGAGGGGUUCUGUGUGGACAUGCUGAAGGAACUGGCCGACAUCCUGAAGUUUAAGUACCGCAUCAAGCUCGUGAGCGAUGGGGUGUACGGAGUUUCCGGAGCUAACGGAACCUGGACGGGAAUGGUGGGAGAAUUAAUCGCCAGGAAGGCGGACCUGGCCGUGGCUGGACUGACCAUCACGGCUGAGAGGGAGAAGGUCAUUGAUUUCUCCAAGCCCUUCAUGACUCUGGGAAUUAGCAUCAUGUACCGGGUGCACAUGGGAAGAAGACCGGGGUAUUUUUCCUUCCUGGACCCGUUCUCUCCAGGGGUCUGGCUCUUCAUGCUGCUGGCAUAUCUGGCUGUUAGCUGUGUGCUUUUUCUGGUUGCCAGACUCACCCCCUACGAGUGGUACAAUCCGCACCCCUGCCUGAAGGGACGGUGCAGUCUGCUGAUUAACCAGUACUCUCUGGGGAACAGCUUCUGGUUCCCCGUCGGGGGCUUCAUGCAGCAGGGCUCCACCAUCGCCCCCAGAGCGCUGUCCACACGCUGUGUCAGCGGAGUAUGGUGGGCGUUUACCCUGAUCAUCAUCUCUUCCUACACGGCCAACCUGGCCGCCUUCCUCACUGUGCAGAGGAUGGAGGUUCCCAUAGAGUCCGUGGACGACCUGGCGGAUCAGACGGCUAUAGAGUACGGCACCAUGCAUGGCGGAUCCACCAUGACCUUCUUCCAGAACUCCCGUUAUCAGACGUAUCAGCGCAUGUGGAACUUCAUGCACUCUAAGCAGCCCAGCGUGUUCGUGAAGAGCACGGAGGAGGGCAUCGCACGCGUGCUGAACUCCAACUACGCCUACCUGCUGGAGAGCACCAUGAACGAGUACUACAGACAGCGCAACUGCAACCUCACGCAGAUAGGAGGUCUGCUGGACACCAAGGGCUACGGCAUCGGCAUGCCUCUGGGCUCAGUGUAUCGGGAUGAGUUUGAUCUGGCGAUCCUCAGACUGCAGGAGGAGAACCGGCUGGAGAUCCUCAAAAGAAAGUGGUGGGAUGGUGGAAAGUGUCCGAAAGAGGAGGACCAUCGAGCCAAAGGUCUCGGCAUGGAGAACAUCGGUGGGAUCUUCGUGGUGCUGGUGUGUGGUCUGUUAGUAGCUAUCUUCAUGGCUGUGCUGGAGUUUGUAUGGAUGCUGCGUCAGACUCCAGGAACAGAGGUGAGAGAGGACUAUUUUACCUGCCUCUGCUUUAUGUCCUUCUCCCCGCCCACGAGCCUUUCCUCCUGAGCCCUUUCCCCAUGUCCAGCCCCACCCGGCCCUCCAGCCUUACAGCACAAACACCACAGAGCUUACCUCACACAGGUGCACUGAGUCCACGGGUCUCCACUGGCCUGUACCUGCUCUACAGGUAGUACUCAGGGGUUCAUUGCUACCUUUAUAGAGUUCAGUUUAACUUUUAACUGUAUUUUUCGCACUAUAAGGUGCACUGGAUUGUAAGGCACAUUUUAUGUGACACUAGUAAGGAACAGGGGUGGCGAGACCUAUAAAGCUAAGCCAAGUUAAGUAAACAAAACUGUAAUUCUAAAGAAAAAAACAUUUUCAACAAGCGCUGGAUGUUAAUCCACACAGAUUUAUUUUGGUGAGAAUAAUCAUUUAUAAUUAAUUUUGAUUAUAGUUUUAGUUGAUUUUUGGUUUUAUUGUCUAUGUCUGCACUGAUGUUUUAAAAAUCAUAUGGUCAUGAAAAUUUGGCUUGAACGCCUGAAAAAUCAUGAAACUGUAUUGAUUAAAACAUUGGUAUGAACGCUGCUAGAUACUUUUUUUCACAUAACAGAGUUGUUCUAUCAGUGUAAUUCUAAUUCAUCCAAGGUGUUGUAUUGAAAUAAAUAUAAAAAUUAGAUAAUCUUUAUUAAAUUACAUAAGCAAAGUAUACUCUUCAAUUAUUAUGGUUUACAUAUACGUUUGAAGACACAUGCAAACAGUUUAUUUGGGUGAGUAAGUCACUUCUGUUUUUAAUUACAGUAAAUUGCUGGAGUUUACUGGAGCAUUAGCAUUAGUGGCUAACCGCUAGCGGGUAAUGCUAAUGCUGCUCCAGCAGUGCUAGCUAGGGUUAGCAACAGGCUAUACAGCAGGGUCGAUAUAAUAAUCACCUAUGAAUGGGCAAACAGUCAGUGCUUAGAGUUAGAGUUAGCGGCUAAUGCUACUGUACAACACUGUAUUUCAGUGGAGUAGCUUUUCUGGUCCCUAUUACCUGACUGCUAAAAUUCAUACAUAAGAUGUAUUGACGAUUUUUUUAAGGAAAAUUGAAGUAUUUUUUUAAGUGCUCCUUAUAGUGCGAAAAAUAUGGCACUAAUGUAGUAUAUCUUUUUUUUUUUGUAUUAUUGUGUGUUUCUUGUAUUAGAUUGGAUUAGAUUGUUUUUAAGAAAACACUGUGAUUUUGCUUUUUGCUAAAUAAACCUUCAGAGUUUUCUCAGUAGAACCGCAGGACGUGUGACUUCUUUGUGGGGGGGGGGUGUAUAUGCAUAAAAGGGGCUAAGUGAUAAAUAUAUAUAUAUUUUUUUAUUGUGUGUCAAGGGUAGACACCAUGUGCUGAUGUGCUUUUGUUAGCAUACGUUUGAACAUAUGUGAGGGGAAACAUCGGCUGAGUGUCAGACUGCGGGCUCCUGCCGGUCCGUUCUGUUACCAUCUGUCUGCUGCAUCUGAAUUAAUUCAGUUAACAGUGGAUAAAGAACUAAUUAUACGCCCCUUUUUGUUAAAACUCAAUUUUUAGGUAUUUCCUGACUCAGCAUACCUACACAUAUUUAACAGCUGGUGUUUCUACGAUAUUUUAAAGGUCUAUAAGUGUUUUGAAAGUGAGACAUUUUGUCAUUAGAGCCAAACCAAGGACAGACAUUCGCAGAAACCAAUCAAAAAUGUAUUAACAAAGGUGUUAGACUUAUAGGAGUAGUCAGAGACAGGCAGGGUCAGUAUCAAAAUGACAGUAAUUGUAAAUAACAUACCAGAGAGAGCAGGAUACAGAGUAGAUGAUGGGGAAAUCCAAAAGGUAAAGGUCUAGACAUGAAGAGUGGACUUAAUUAAAAAAUAUAUAUAAUAAGGUUCGGCAAUGAUAAACAAUCGAUAGAAGGGGCUAUGGCAAAAAAGUAGUCAAAAAACAAAAAAACAAGUCGGCAACAAUAGUAAUAGAUAGGGUAGAUUCAAUAUCCAGCGAUGGACAAAGAAAACAAAGGGGUAUAUAUACAGGACAGAACAGGUGCGUGCAAUCAGAAGCUCGGAGAGUGUGAACACUGUAGUGUUACAUGAUCAGCAGAGUUAGGGAAGUCCGGUAAGAGAGCAUGCUGGGAAUUGGAGUCUUUGUUUUAAAGUUCAGAGUCCACAGCAGUCCAUUGCAUUUUGUAAUUUUGGUUUGAUAUAAAUCAUUCCAAAGGAUUGAUUUACUUGGUGAGGAAAAAACACUCAUUCACAACAUCUUUUCAAGUUCGAAACACUCCAGAUAACCUAGAUAUUUCACUAUCUAUUGAAUAAUAUCUACAGUUACUUUAAGAGCCUCCUUCAAGAAAUUAAAAACAGAGUACAUAUAGCUCUGGAAAAAAUGAAGGUCGCACUUCAGUUUCUGAAUCAGUUUCUCUGAUUUUGCUAUUUAUAGGUUUAUGUUUGAGUAAAAUGAACAUUGUUGUUUUAUUCUAUAAACUACAGACAACAUUUCUCCCAAAUUCCAAAUAAAAAUAUUCUCAUUUAGAGCAUUUAUUUACAGAAAAUGAGAAAUGACUGAAAUAACAAAAAGAUGCAGAACUUUCAGACCUCAAAUAAUGCAAAGAAAACCAGUUCAUAUUCAUAAAGUUUUAAGAGUUCAGAAAUCAAUAUUUGGUGGAAUAAAUCUUGGCAUCAUGUUCUCCUCCACCAGUCUUACACACUGCUUUUGGAUAACUUUAUACUGCUUUACUCCUGGUGCAAAAAUUCAAGCAGUUCAGUUUGGUGGUUUGAUGGCUUGUGAUCAUCCAUCUUCCUCUUGAUUAUAUUCCAGAGGUUUUCAAUUUGGUAAAAUCAAAGAAACUCAUCAUUUUUAAGUGGUUUCUUAUU